This 416-nucleotide ribosomal RNA is filed under the name uncultured Cyanomargarita sp. Its description in RNAcentral is "bacterial SSU rRNA". It matches the Rfam family "Bacterial small subunit ribosomal RNA", at positions 357 to 788 of the family's 1533-position model. Lineage: Bacteria; Bacillati; Cyanobacteriota; Cyanophyceae; Nostocales; Cyanomargaritaceae. The record is from RNAcentral.
GGGGAAUUUUCGCAAUGGGCGAAAGCCUGACGGAGCAAUACCGCGUGAGGGAGGAAGGCUCUUGGGUUGUAAACCUCUUUUCUUAGGGAAGAAGUUCUGACGGUACCUAAGGAAUAAGCAUCGGCUAACUCCGUGCCAGCAGCCGCGGUAAUACGGAGGAUGCAAGCGUUAUCCGGAAUGAUUGGGCGUAAAGGGUCCGCAGGUGGUUUUGUAAGUCUAUUGUUAAAGCGUUUGGCUCAACCAAAUAUAGGCGGUGGAAACUACAAGACUAGAGUCCGUUCGGGGCAGAGGGAAUUCCUGGUGUAGCGGUGAAAUGCGUAGAGAUCAGGAAGAACACCGGUGGCGAAAGCGCUCUGCUAGGCCGGAACUGACACUGAGGGACGAAAGCUAGGGGAGCGAAUGGGAUUAGAUACCCC